Molecule: ribosomal RNA, 497 nt
Filed under: uncultured bacterium
Lineage: Bacteria
Description: partial 16S ribosomal RNA
Rfam family: Bacterial small subunit ribosomal RNA
Source: RNAcentral
GAUGAACGCUGGCGGCGUGCCUAAUACAUGCAAGUCGAGCGAACAGACGAGGAGCUUGCUCUUCUGACGUUAGCGGCGGACGGGUGAGUAACACGUGGAUAACCUACCUAUAAGACUGGGAUAACUUCGGGAAACCGGAGCUAAUACCGGAUAAUAUGUUGAACCGCAUGGUUCAACAGUGAAAGACGGUCUUUCUGUCACUUAUAGAUGGAUCCGCGCUGCAUUAGCUAGUUGGUAAGGUAACGGCUUACCAAGGCAACGAGGCGUAGCCGACCUGAGAGGGUGAUCGGCCACACUGGAACUGAGACACGGUCCAGACUCCUACGGGAGGCAGCAGUAGGGAAUCUUCCGCAAUGGGCGAAAGCCUGACGGAGCAACGCCGCGUGAGUGAUGAAGGUCUUCGGAUCGUAAAACUCUGUUAUUAGGGAAGAACAUAUGUGUAAGUAACUGUGCACAUCUUGACGGUACCUAAUCAGAAAGCCACGGCUAACUACGUG